RNAcentral lists this non-coding RNA (194 nucleotides) under human gut metagenome. Its description in RNAcentral is "6S / SsrS RNA". It matches the Rfam family "6S / SsrS RNA". From Rfam's summary of the family: E. coli 6S RNA was the first non coding RNA to be sequenced, but its function was unknown until recently. It consists of 184 nucleotides that fold into an extended hairpin structure with a large single-stranded internal bulge. The record is from RNAcentral.
UACCCUGCAUAGUGCGUGUAGACAGAAUUUUUAGAACCUACAAGUUUUAAGAGGGGCUUAUCUCUUUAUAUGGCGUGCAUGCUUGCUUCCAUUUGGUCGUAAGAAGCCCACAAGUAUUAAGGUUGGCACCCACCUGUUUUUUGAGGAGGCAGGUUAUUAAAAAUUCACCAACAUCUUACGGCUAAGGCGGGGAU